This is a long non-coding RNA of Anneissia japonica, 1189 nucleotides long. RefSeq lists it as uncharacterized. The transcript has 2 exons. The record is from RefSeq and is a predicted model, not a curated record. NCBI's taxonomy places the organism in Eukaryota, Metazoa, Echinodermata, Crinoidea, Comatulida, Comatulidae.
AUGGAGGUUACUCCACAAUCCAGUUCGAACUGAAAAUUUUGAAGAGUCAGUUUUAGAUUUUAAAUGUUUAAAUGUUAAAAGUUAAGGAUGACGAUUAUUAAUAAUUAAUUUUAAACUCGCAUGGGAGGAAUAACGUAAACGAUAAAUAUUUAAUGGCCGAUACUAAAACAUUGUGGAAUACUGGGCAAAAUCAUCAAUCCAUCACAUAAAUGCCCUCCAGUACGUACCGCUAUUUUUACAACGCCUUUAAAUUUUACAGCCAGCCUAAAUAUAGUCAAACAUUAUUUUUCCUACCAAUUGACUACGGUCAUCUUGAUAAAUGCCCUGCUUCGAGGCUCAGUUCCGCAUAUUUUUUUUUAAUCCUAAAUUUAUUUUUAGAGCACAUUACCAAUUUUUAUCCUGAUCGUUUCGAAAUAAUUUUGCCAGGGCAAACAUCAUUUCUCACAUGUAGAUUUGCACACAUAUAGUCCGUAUACCAAUAGUACUGUACCAUCUUAUCCAGUCUUAUCAAGGUUCUUGGUAGUACUGUUCUCAGUACUAUGUCUCAAUUUCUAUAUGACAACUGAUGUGUGGCAUGUCUUAGGCCCUACUUUAUAAAUAUAUAUGCCUGACACCGAUGAUGAUAUCAUAAGUGUAUGUCUACGAACGACGCAUUGCCUGUUAUGAAAUAUAAUUAAAUUAAACAUUUAAUUUUAUAUCUAUAUUCUUCACUUGUGAAUUUGCAAUUAAUUUUUAAUAACUUUAAAAUAAGUUCGAAUGAGGAAAAAUAUUCCCCGAUAUUAAAAAGUAAAGAAUAACUUUCCUAUAUUCAAUUAUAGAUCCUGUAAUUGACUCAAUUAUCUUUAUACUUAUUAUGACAUUGUAAAUUUCAAUAAUAGAUUUAAUAAGGAAGAGCCCUCAACCGAUGGUAUUGUUACAACUAAAACUGUCUUUCAAACUGUCGGUGAGGAUUACAGCAUAUGGGAGGAGCAGAAAGAUGUAGACGAGAUUGAACGAACUAAACAGGUACGCGAACACGCUAUCGCUACGAAUGUAGCAAAGACGUUCGAUUUUACUGCUUCUACGUCCUCAUCUGAUCCCAGAAUAUUAGCAUCUCCAUCUACGUCCGCAUUUCAUUUCGAAGGAACAUCAGCUGCAUCUGUAUCAGAAAUUGAUCCCAGAAAAACGUCAUCUCUUUCCCCUGUGUUUA